Molecule: ribosomal RNA, 261 nt
Filed under: uncultured bacterium
Lineage: Bacteria
Description: partial 16S ribosomal RNA
Rfam family: Bacterial small subunit ribosomal RNA
Source: RNAcentral
GUCCACGCCGUAACGAUGGACGCUAGUCGUCGCGGGUAUUGACCCCGCGGCAACGAAGUUAACGCGUUAAGCGUCCCGCCUGGGAGUACGGCCGCAAGGCUAAACUCAAAGGAAUUGACGGGGCCCGCACAAGCGGUGGAGCAUGUGGUUCAAUUCGACGCAACGCGCAGAACCUUACCUGGGUUAAAUCCACUAGAAGUCCGUAGAGAUAUAGAUGUGCCCCGCAAGGGAGCUAGUGAGAAGGUGCUGCAUGGCUGUCGU